AACGGGGGGAACUAGUGUUAUUCGUCAUAACUGGUGCGUAGGAUACGUAGGUGGUAAUGUAAGUUUAGAGUGAAAGACUGUAAUUUCCCUACUUAGCCGCUCUUUAUACUGCAUUCACUUGAGUAUGUUUGGGAUCAGGUACUCUAUAUGGAAAGGUGGAAUUUUUCGAUAUAUAGAGGACCGUCUCUAGAGAAAUCAUGAUUUCCUAUACAUUACUGACGCUAAGGUAUGAAGGCACGGGGAGCAAAGAGG
Molecule: ribosomal RNA, 252 nt
Filed under: uncultured bacterium
Lineage: Bacteria
Description: partial 16S ribosomal RNA
Rfam family: Bacterial small subunit ribosomal RNA
Source: RNAcentral